This is a long non-coding RNA of Numida meleagris (helmeted guineafowl), 776 nucleotides long. RefSeq lists it as uncharacterized. Lineage: Eukaryota; Metazoa; Chordata; Aves; Galliformes; Numididae. The transcript has 2 exons. The record is from RefSeq and is a predicted model, not a curated record.
UCACGCCGAUACUCUCCGCCCGCUGAUAACAGAUUUUCAAAAUAACACCACGAAGUAGCCAACAGCGUGCUGAGCACUCGACGAACGCACAGCAAACUGAACGCAGAGAACUCGCCAAACACACAGAAAAACGCCGACAGCGGUGAGGGCUGUUCGGACGGGACCUCCGAGCGGCCCCACACACUCCCCUCAGCCCGGAGACAGCCAACGGGCGGGCGGCGCGGCCGGGCCAGGCUGUAUUACUUCUGGCAAAAGAAGAGAGGAAGGUUACUUCAGAAACAUCCGUAGUAAUUGGAGAUGAUUGCCUGUAAGGAUCUCCACUUGAAGCGACCGUCGCCAGAGGCUCUCAGCUCUCAAGAAUGAGCAUUAUCAAGGCUGCUGCCAACACAAGUUCACACACAAUGGGCCCAUCAGCUAACGAGCACAGAAUGAAUCUUCUCCCAUUUUUGGAUAAAGACAAAUGAGUGAUUGUGCACAGAGCUUAGCAUACCAGUUUACGGCUAUGUGAAACACAUUUGGAUGACUUCUGACUUAACGAAACUCAUUGUGGUCUGAAGCCUGCUUACACAGAUGGAGGCACGUUCUUACCAUACGCAGUCUGCGUUUUACUACAUUCUUACUGUUUUGAAGACAAAGUUGAGAAAAGAUGGCAAGCACUCUGCUGUACCUGGCCCUCUAAAAUGCAGUAAGGAGAAUAUACUGGAAUUUUAGAAAGCCUUUUUGUUAGAAAAUAGGUGGGAAAAAGCAGUUCUGUGUAAAUAAAUAAUUCGCUGCCA